Molecule: long non-coding RNA, 999 nt
Organism: Helianthus annuus (common sunflower)
Lineage: Eukaryota; Viridiplantae; Streptophyta; Magnoliopsida; Asterales; Asteraceae
Exons: 5
Source: RefSeq, a predicted model, not a curated record
GCUGACAAAUUUUGGAAACAAUUCUAUGGUAAAAAUUACGAGUAUGGGAUGGCAACUAUCUAUGUUGGCGAAAGGUUUUGGAAUGUGAUGAUGAAAGGAUGGACUGAUGGAUGCAGAUUUACUGAUGGAUGGUCAAAAUUGAUUGAAGAAGUUCCCAUACCAGUUGAAUCUUGGUUAAGUUUCACCAUGAUUGCAUCUAAAACGUUUGAGCUUUCCGUUUUCCAUUUCGAGUCUGGAACUGAGGUUUCCUUCAAGAAAGGCUAAACACAAACAGCUUCUGGAUUCCGGGGAAGUUGCUUUGAAUGAUGUGGAUACUGGAGCUUCGCUUGAAGAUCAUUCUGUAAAAAUAGCUGAUGAUGUUAACGAUCUUCAACUACAGUCUAAAGAUUUUCCUGUUCGUGACAUUUCUGCCUCUUCAAGUGUUGUAUCUAAUGUGGAAAAGAUGCGCAAACUUCGUGACAAGACAAUUGUAGAGGAUAAUAAAGCUGUUGAUAGACCGUGUAAAGUUCGAAAGGUUCAUUUAGUAUCAUCCACUUCAGAAUCAAUCUUACACUUCACCACACAUGCUGAAGACAGACUUCAACUGCCAUCGGAUGUAUCGUCUGCGUUGGAUCUGCAUACUGAUAAUCCUAAGCCUAUCAAGAUCCAGAAUCUCAAAUGUGAAGUCCAAGAACUGUUUACAACAUCUCAAAAAACCAAUACUGGAUUCAACUAUGAUAUUGUUGGAUGGUCUUCUUAUCUGAGAUCUUGCAAUAUUGCUUUUGGUGAUGAACUUUAGUUAGAGUUUCACAAGUCUACUCAAUUGCUGAAGUUAAAAAAAGUUGUGCAUAUCGUGACAAAGAUAAAGUCCUCUUAGUUUCAUGUCAUGAUUGUUUGUGGUUGUACAUUUGGUUUGUUGGUGGUACUAAUUUUGCUUCUUAGACAUGUUCUAUAUGUGUAGUUAUGUCGAUAAACAAGUUUCAUUGUCAAUGGGUGGGUGCUACUUUUUUUUGUGGAUAG